Molecule: long non-coding RNA, 940 nt
Filed under: Marmota monax (woodchuck)
Lineage: Eukaryota; Metazoa; Chordata; Mammalia; Rodentia; Sciuridae
Source: RNAcentral
GAAAAAUAAAGUAAAAACGAACAAAGGGAGGAACUAUACUAGAAGAAUUUUCACUCAAAGGAGAAACUAAUUCAAACUACAAGCAAGAAAUAAAUCAAAAUGACAGGGAAGAAAAAUAAUUUCUGAAUAAUAAUAUUGAAAGCAAAUUUUGGCUUAAACCCAUGGCUUAAACCCAUCAAUCAAUAGACAUAGAUUGGCAGAUUGGAUUAAAAAACAAGACCAACAAUAUGCUGUCUUCAAGAGACUCACCUCAUAGGCAAAGACAUCCACAGACUGAAGGUAAAGGGAUGGGCAGAAAACAUAUCAUUCAUGUGGGUCUUUUAAACAAGUAGGGGUUUCUAUCCUUGUAUCAGAUAAAGUGAACUUCAAGCCAAAGUUAGUCAGCAGGGAGAAAGGAGGCCAUUUCAUACUGCUUAAGGGAGCUAUAAUUAACAAGACAUAAAAAUUGUAAAUAUUCAUGCCCAAACAAUGGAGAAUCUACGGACAUCAAAGAAACCCUUCUGAAUUUCAGGAAUCAAAUAGACCACAACACAAUAAUACUGGGUAACUUUAACAUGCCUUUGUUACUACUGAAUAGAUCCUCCAAACAAAAACUAAAUAAAGAAGCUGUAGAACUAAAAAAUACAAUUGACAACUUAGACUUAACAGGCAUAUAUAGACUAUUUCAUCCUUCAAGGACUGAAUACACUUUCUUAGCAGUGCAUGGUUCCUUCUCUAAUAUAAACCAUAUUAUGUAAGCUAUCACAUAUGUUGGCAUACGGUUGUUAUAUUACCUUAAUAUAUUUUUAGCAUCUGUAGGGUUAUUUUGAUAGUUCCCUUUCCAUUAAUUUUUGUAUUCUUUUUUUUUCUUAAUUAGACUUGUUUGGUUUUUAUCAAUGUUUAGCUGUAUUAUUUCUUCUCUAUUUAGUAUAUUUCUGCUCCUACUCUUAUUUUUACCUUC